UACAGAGGGUGCAAGCGUUGUUCGGAAUCAUUGGGCGUAAAGCGCGUGUAGGCGGCCACCUAAGUCUGGUGUGAAAGCCCAGGGCUCAACCCUGGAAGUGCACUGGAUACUGGGAGGCUAGAGGGUGAGAGAGGAGAUUGGAAUUCAUGGUGUAGGGGUGAAAUCCGUAGAUAUCAUGAGGAACAUCAGUGGCGAAGGCGAAUCUCUGGCUCAUUUCUGACGCUGAGACGCGAAAGCGUGGGGAGCAAACAGG
This 253-nucleotide ribosomal RNA is filed under the name uncultured bacterium. Its description in RNAcentral is "partial 16S ribosomal RNA". It matches the Rfam family "Bacterial small subunit ribosomal RNA", at positions 524 to 776 of the family's 1533-position model. The record is from RNAcentral.